This 307-nucleotide ribosomal RNA is filed under the name uncultured Lactobacillus sp. Its description in RNAcentral is "bacterial SSU rRNA". It matches the Rfam family "Bacterial small subunit ribosomal RNA", at positions 233 to 525 of the family's 1533-position model. The record is from RNAcentral. Lineage: Bacteria; Bacillati; Bacillota; Bacilli; Lactobacillales; Lactobacillaceae.
GCGGUGCAUUAGCUAGUUGGUAGGGUAACGGCCGUACCAAGGGCGAUGAUGCAUAGCCCGAGUUGAGAGACUGAUCGGCCACAUUGGGGACUGAGACACGGCCCAAACUCCUACGGGAGGCAGCAGUAGGGAAUCUUCCACAAUGGACGCAAGUCUGAUGGAGCAAACGCCGCGUGAGUGAAGAAGGGUUUCGGCUCGUAAAGCUCUGUUGUUGGUGAAGAAGGAUAGAGGUAGUAACUGGCCCUUUAUUUGACGGUAAUCAACCAGAAAGUCACGGGCUAACUACGUGCCAGCAGCCGCAGUAAAU